GGAGCCUUCUAUAAAGAUAAGAGUCCAG
Molecule: non-coding RNA, 28 nt
Filed under: Rattus norvegicus (Norway rat)
Lineage: Eukaryota; Metazoa; Chordata; Mammalia; Rodentia; Muridae
Source: RNAcentral